AUGGUUAAGUUAGAAAGGGCGCACGGUGAAUGCCUUGGCACUAGGAGCCGAUGAAGGACGGGACUAACACCGAUAUGCUUCGGGGAGCUGUAAGUGAGCUUUGAUCCGGAGAUUUCCGAAUGGGGAAACCCACUGUUCGUAAUGGAACAGUAUCUUUAUCUGAAUACAUAGGAUAUUGAAGGCAGACCCGGGGAACUGAAACAUCUAAGUACCCGGAGGAAGAGAAAGCAAAUGCGAUUUCCUGAGUAGCGGCGAGCGAAACGGAAUUAGCCCAAACCAAGAGGCUUGCCUCUUGGGGUUGUAGGACACUCUAUACGGAGUUACAAAGGAACGAAGUAAAUGAAGCGACCUGGAAAGGUCCGUCGAAGAAGGUAACAACCCUGUAGUUGAAACUUCGUUCCCUCUUGAGUGGAUCCUGAGUACGGCGGAACACGUGAAAUUCCGUCGGAAGCUGGGAGGACCAUCUCCCAAGGCUAAAUACUACCUAGUGACCGAUAGUGAACCAGUACCGUGAGGGAAAGGUGAAAAGCACCCCGGAAGGGGAGUGAAAGAGAUCCUGAAACCGUGUGCCUACAAGUAGUCAGAGCCCGUUAAUGGGUGAUGGCGUGCCUUUUGUAGAAUGAACCGGCGAGUUACGAUCCCAUGCAAGGUUAAGCUGAUAAGGCGGAGCCGUAGCGAAAGCGAGUCUGAAUAGGGCGUUUAGUAUGUGGUUGUAGACCCGAAACCAGGUGAUCUACCCAUGUCCAGGGUGAAGUUCAGGUAACACUGAAUGGAGGCCCGAACCCACGCACGUUGAAAAGUGCGGGGAUGAGGUGUGGGUAGCGGAGAAAUUCCAAUCGAACCUGGAGAUAGCUGGUUCUCUCCGAAAUAGCUUUAGGGCUAGCCUCAUGUUGUGAGAGUCUUGGAGGUAGAGCACUGAUUGGACUAGGGGCCCCCAACGGGUUACCGAAUUCAGUCAAACUCCGAAUGCCAAAGACUUAUCCAUGGGAGUCAGACUGCGAGUGAUAAGAUCCGUAGUCAAAAGGGAAACAGCCCAGACCACCAGCUAAGGUCCCCAAGUAUACGUUAAGUGGAAAAGGAUGUGGAGUUGCUUAGACAACCAGGAUGUUGGCUUAGAAGCAGCCACCAUUUAAAGAGUGCGUAAUAGCUCACUGGUCGAGUGACUCUGCGCCGAAAAUGUACCGGGGCUAAACGUAUCACCGAAGCUGUGGAUUGACAUCUUAGAUGUCAGUGGUAGGAGAGCGUUCUAAGUGCUGUGAAGUCAGACCGUAAGGACUGGUGGAGCGCUUAGAAGUGAGAAUGCCGGUAUGAGUAGCGAAAGACAAGUGAGAAUCUUGUCCACCGAAUGCCUAAGGUUUCCUGAGGAAGGCUCGUCCGCUCAGGGUUAGUCGGGACCUAAGCCGAGGCUGAAAAGCGUAGGCGAUGGCCAACAGGUUGAUAUUCCUGUACCACCUCCCCGCCGUUUGAGUAAUGGGGGGACGCAGUAGGAUAGGGUAAGCGCGCUGCUGGAUAUGCGCGUUCAAGCAGUUAGGCUGAUGAGUAGGCAAAUCCGCUCAUCAUAAAGGCUGAGCUGUGAUGACGAGGGAAUUAUAGUACCGAAGUUCCUGAUUCCACACUGCCAAGAAAAGCCUCUAGCGAGGCGGGAGGUGCCCGUACCGCAAACCGACACAGGUAGGCGAGGAGAGAAUCCUAAGGUGAUCGAGAGAACUCUCGUUAAGGAACUCGGCAAAAUGACCCCGUAACUUCGGGAGAAGGGGUGCUCUGGUAGGGUGUAUAGCCCGAGAGAGCCGCAGUGAAUAGGCCCAGGCGACUGUUUAGCAAAAACACAGGUCUCUGCGAAGCCGCAAGGCGAAGUAUAGGGGCUGACGCCUGCCCGGUGCUGGAAGGUUAAGAGGAGGGGUUAUCCUUUGGGAGAAGCUCUGAAUCGAAGCCCCAGUAAACGGCGGCCGUAACUAUAACGGUCCUAAGGUAGCGAAAUUCCUUGUCGGGUAAGUUCCGACCCGCACGAAAGGCGUAACGAUCUGGGCACUGUCUCAACGAGAGACUCGGUGAAAUUAUAGUACCUGUGAAGAUGCAGGUUACCCGCGACAGGACGGAAAGACCCCGUGGAGCUUUACUGUAGCCUGAUAUUGAAUUUUGGUACAGCUUGUACAGGAUAGGUAGGAGCCUGAGAAGCCGGAGCGCUAGCUUCGGUGGAGGCGUCGGUGGGAUACUACCCUGGCUGUAUUGAAAUUCUAACCCGCGGCCCUUAUCGGGCCGGGAGACAGUGUCAGGUGGGCAGUUUGACUGGGGCGGUCGCCUCCUAAAAUGUAACGGAGGCGCCCAAAGGUUCCCUCAGAAUGGUUGGAAAUCAUUCGUAGAGUGUAAAGGCACAAGGGAGCUUGACUGCGAGACCUACAAGUCGAGCAGGGACGAAAGUCGGGCUUAGUGAUCCGGUGGUUCCGCAUGGAAGGGCCAUCGCUCAACGGAUAAAAGCUACCCCGGGGAUAACAGGCUUAUCUCCCCCAAGAGUCCACAUCGACGGGGAGGUUUGGCACCUCGAUGUCGGCUCAUCGCAUCCUGGGGCUGUAGUCGGUCCCAAGGGUUGGGCUGUUCGCCCAUUAAAGCGGUACGCGAGCUGGGUUCAGAACGUCGUGAGACAGUUCGGUCCCUAUCCGUCGUGGGCGUAGGAAAUUUGAGAGGAGCUGUCCUUAGUACGAGAGGACCGGGAUGGACACACCGCUGGUGUACCAGUUGUCUUGCCAAAGGCAUCGCUGGGUAGCUAUGUGUGGACGGGAUAAGUGCUGAAAGCAUCUAAGCAUGAAGCCCCCCUCAAGAUGAGAUUUCCCAUAGCGCAAGCUAGUAAGAUCCCUGAAAGAUGAUCAGGUUGAUAGGUCAGAGGUGGAAGCGUGGCGACAUGUGUAGCUGACUGAUACUAAUCGAUCGAGGACUUAACCAAA
This 2939-nucleotide ribosomal RNA is filed under the name Priestia megaterium. Its description in RNAcentral is "bacterial LSU rRNA". It matches the Rfam family "Bacterial large subunit ribosomal RNA". The record is from RNAcentral. Lineage: Bacteria; Bacillati; Bacillota; Bacilli; Caryophanales; Bacillaceae.